Octodon degus (degu) is the source of this 132-nucleotide small nucleolar RNA. Its record names the gene SNORA70. It matches the Rfam family "Small nucleolar RNA SNORA70". Rfam says of the family: snoRNA U70 seems to be exclusive to mammals and is a member of the H/ACA class of snoRNA which contain H (ANANNA) and ACA box motifs. H/ACA box snoRNAs are involved in the conversion of uridines to pseudouridines (5-ribosyluracil) a constituent of structural RNAs (transfer, ribosomal, small nuclear, and small nucleolar). The record is from Ensembl. NCBI's taxonomy places the organism in Eukaryota, Metazoa, Chordata, Mammalia, Rodentia, Octodontidae.
GUGCAGGCCAUUAAGCCUCCUGGGCCCCUGCUGGUGGGCACCCAGUGUGCAGUAGCUGCACACAGCAACCCCUUGGUAAUGCUCAUAGCCUGUUGCUUGUAUGGGCUGCGUUAAGGGACCUGGGAGACACUC